GAGUAAAAGCUAAUUAUAUUGUUCGAUUAAGCCCCGAGAGUGUAAAUUUGGAACGAAUCGAUGUCAACGUUCACAAGAACCAAAACCGGAACAACAUUAGACUACUCAGUUGCGCCCUAACAGUAUAACUUUGCAAUGAGUACUUUUUCUCAUUUAAUCGAACAAAGAGUAAAACCUAAUUAAAUUGUUUGAUUAAGCCCCGAGAGUGUAAAGUUGGAACGAAUAGAUAUCAACGUUCACACAAACCAAAAUCGGAACAACAUUAGACUACUCACUUACACCCUAACAGUAUAAAUUUGCAACCAGUACUUUUUCUCAUUCUAUCGAACAAAGAGAAAAAGCUAAUUAUAUUGUUCUAUUAUGCCCCGAGAGUGUAAAUUUGGAACGAAUUGAUGUCAACGUUCACAAGAAUCAAAACCGGAACCACAUUAGACUGCUCACUUGCGCCCUAACAGUAUAACUUCGCAACAACUACUUUUUCUCAUUCAAUCGAACAAAUAGUAAAACCUAAUUAUAUUGUUCUAU
This 525-nucleotide long non-coding RNA is filed under the name Ananas comosus (pineapple). RNAcentral's name for it is "long non-coding RNA (ACOM_LNC003525)". The record is from RNAcentral. Lineage: Eukaryota; Viridiplantae; Streptophyta; Magnoliopsida; Poales; Bromeliaceae.